CACGUAGGGCGCAAGCGUUGUCCGGAAUUAUUGGGCGUAAAGAGCUCGUAGGUGGUUUGUUACGUCUGCUGUGAAAACCUAGGGCUUAACCCCUGGGCUUGCAGUGGAUACGGGCAGACUAGAGGUAGGUAGGGGAGAAUGGAAUUCCUGGUGUAGCGGUGAAAUGCGCAGAUAGUCAGGAGGAACACCGGUGGCGAAGGCGGUUCUCUGGGCCUUACCUGACACUGAGGAGCGAAAGCGUGGGGAGCGAACAGGAUUAGAUACCCC
RNAcentral lists this ribosomal RNA (267 nucleotides) under uncultured bacterium. RNAcentral's name for it is "partial 16S ribosomal RNA". It matches the Rfam family "Bacterial small subunit ribosomal RNA", at positions 524 to 788 of the family's 1533-position model. The record is from RNAcentral.